AUUGAACGCUAGCGGCAGGCCUAACACAUGCAAGUCGAACGAGUGGCGGACGGGUGAGUAAUAUCUGGGAAAGUGCCUGAUGGAGGGGGAUAACUACUGGAAACAGUAGCUAAUACCGCAUACCAUCGGAUGUGCCCAUAUGGGAUUAGCUAGUAGGUGGGGUAAAGGCUCACCUAGGCAACGAUCCCUAGCUGGUCUGAGAGGAUGACCAGCCACACUGGAACGGAGACACGGUCCAGACUCCUACGGGAGGCAGAAGUGGGGAAUAUUGCACAAUGGGCGAAAGCCUGAUGCAGCCAUGCCGCGUGUAUGAAGAAGGCCUUCGGGUUGUAAAGUACUUUCGGCGGGGAGGCGGUAUCCGCAGAAGAAGCACCGGCUAACUCCGUGCCAGCAGCCGCGGUAAUUC
Molecule: ribosomal RNA, 406 nt
Filed under: uncultured bacterium
Lineage: Bacteria
Description: partial 16S ribosomal RNA
Rfam family: Bacterial small subunit ribosomal RNA
Source: RNAcentral